UGGCUCUCCCCUUGAACACUGAGCAGAAGGCUGGGGCUCAGGGAGGCAGAGUGGAGGGGAAGGCAGGCUGGAGGAGAGGCAGGGAGAGGGAGAGCUGAGGCCGGGGUACGAGCUCCAAGGCUGGGGGGGAUAAGGGGAUGGCAAGCCAGGGGAUGCUGGGUGGAGGGAGGCGGGGGAGAAAGUGAGAAGGCGGGAGGGCAGGGGAUGCAGCCCAGCUAAGGUGAGAAAAGGUAAGGCAGUGGUGACUGAUAACAGGCCGCACUGAAUGCUAGUAGAAUUAGGUGACCAGGUAGCGAAGAUGGAGUGUUAGUGAAGAAAUAAAUGACUUGUCACAGAAAUAGUGUAGGUCAUAGUGUAGGAGGACAUUUAAUCUGCAGAAGUGUGAAGCCUGUUAGGAGGCUAGGCUGGAGGAUGGAGGGAAAAAAGAGAAACAAGACGCUUGCAACAAGACCAAAAGAAAAAAAAGGAGAGCCAGAAAAUCAGUAUUAGUGUUUUGUGAGUGUGGAGUCUCCUUUCCUUUUCCUGCCAUGGAUGUAAUGCUGGUUUGGAUUACAUCCAAUCAGAUGAGAGGACUGUGGCCCUUGUCAUAAUGACAAGCAUGACAUCAUGGCAAGGGCUAGCGGAGAGGAGACAGCGGAGAGCUCCAGACAGACGACGGGGCUGCACGCCGGGAUCUGCACGCCGACAAUCGCGCACCGGCUGCCGGGUCGAAAGCGCACGGACUACCAGGUGUUGGUGGUUGGUGGCUCGGGUCGGGGGGGAUACGAACGGAAAGUGCGGGCUGGGUGCCGGCAACUGGAGCUCUGCCCCGGACAGGCUGAGGCUCCAUCAGCGGUGGGAGAGAUAGACACGAAGGAGGCUGAGCGACAUGGCAACUUGUUUAAUUUCUGCCAAUCAAGACGAGAGGAAGACAACUCCCAAACUGGCAUGAUGUAACGAGAGAGUGAAGACGCGAGUGAGAGAGCGGGACAAUGGGAAACGGGAUGGCAAAAUGACAAAUGAGCUAAGUUGUUGGUCCGCUGUUCCUGCAGAGCCACCCGUGGUGUUGGGGGUCUCACAACAUUUCCUCUGUGUGUCCUCUUGAGCUGAGAUUGCUGCUUUGAGCCAGCAAGGAAACCAAUCGAAAUUUUUCCAGAGGGGAGCAGCGGCUGCUGUAAUCUCCACUGUUCAAUUAGCUGAAGUGACCGGGACGCCACCUACACUUCAUUAGCUGGAAGGCGAAGGUGAUGCUGACGGUGUAACAUCAGGCGAGUACGAGAGAUGGAGAAGAUGCUGACGUUUCCCAAAAAAACCCCACACAAGCCUACACGGACACACACAUGCAGGCACACAGUAAAUGGGAGUCUUCUGUCAGGAGUGUGAGUCAUUCCCUAGUGUAGAAAACUGAAUUAAAGUGAAUCAGGCUGAACUGAAAUGACCUGAGCUGAAAAGAAGGCUUCAGCUAGACAGCUCUCUGAAGGUGCUGAGGGAAAAAAAUUAGAUGACAAAUAAUUUGGAAAUAAUGCAGAUGGCACACUGUGGUUUCUCGAGGUGGCCUCGCUAGAUUUCCUGUUCUGCAUUCACUUAUUUCCUUUUUUCAUUUUCAUGUUUACAUUACGUUCUAUAACAUUUAUUAAACUGUCUCCGGACUCUCAGCAUUUGUGUCCGAUCUGUUUUUGUAUUUGAGCUUGUGCCAUAACCAUCAAAAGUGUACAUUAGUGCACUGUGACAUUUCCUUUUUUGUCUGUGUGCCAGCAGUCUGUUCAUUAUUGUGGAAUUAAAUAUUAGACACAGAAUUCGAUUUUUAAAAAUAAAUCUAGAGGUUAUUUUAAGCUAGCUGGUGCCGUUUCGUUUCAAAUCGUUUGUUUUUCUUUUUAACCACAACUGCACAAAAUUAGUCUUGCUUAAUAUUUUGUAAUGAUGGCAAAUUAUGGUUUUCCAUCUGAGCUUCACACUUGAUUCAAUUAAAGAGUGUUUGGAUAACCGGUACAGCAGAUCUGCUCUCUAAGCAACUCCAGAUUCAGUGACCUUUGCAUUUUGAGUUUAACUGAGACAUGACAAGAAAUAAAACAAGUAUGUGUUCAGUGUGAUCGUGCCAGUCAUAAGUUACUUCUUCACAAGCUGAUUUUUGACAUGGUUUAAAUGUGGGUUUAAUCACAAACUCUUCUUUUUUUAUUGUACCUUCUUGUUCUUGAAUCUUGCGCUCCACUGUGUAAAAGAUCAAAUAAAAAUUAAAAAAAAACAUUGUGAAAGA
Neolamprologus brichardi is the source of this 2233-nucleotide non-coding RNA. The record is from RefSeq and is a predicted model, not a curated record. Lineage: Eukaryota; Metazoa; Chordata; Actinopteri; Cichliformes; Cichlidae.